RNAcentral lists this unclassified non-coding RNA (428 nucleotides) under synthetic construct. The record is from RNAcentral.
CCGAAGUCGGCAAGCGCGGCAGCGUCGUAGACGACGACCUGGCUGGGGAUACCGAAAGUGCUGUCCUGGUCGGCGGUGUGGUCGAGCUCGGAGACGACCUGGAGCAUGGAGAUGCGGUUGUGGAGGCGGUCGAUGGCGAGGGGCGGGUCGACGAUGGGGACGGCCGGGUGGCGCGCGGCGAAGGCCACGAGCUGGGCGCGCCAGUCGUCUCCGUAGAGCUUGUGGAUGAGGAGGUGGAAGGGCCCUUGCUCUGCCAGGGGCUGCGACGCAUCCACGGGGACGAGGUCCAUGCCCCGCGACGCCGCCUGGGCCACCAGCGACGGCUGGAUGAAGCUCUGCUGCUUCUUCGGCGCGAGCGCGUAACCGAUGACGUAGCGCGGGGGGUGGGUGACGCCGGAGGAGGGCUCGGCGGCGGCGUCGGAGGCCAU